CUCGCCCACUUAGUCACAAGUAGGUGCUUCUACAUCCUCCCAAGCCAAGUCUUCUACUAGUGUGAGUGGAUCCCUUAGGAUGGCCACCAUUCCUUUCCAUUGUUUCCCAGGUUGGACCUAUCCUAAUGUGACCCAUCCUAGUAUCCCUCAGCUCCUGGAGUGUUGACUAGACAGAGACACUACUCUCGGACUACCCCUUCUAUUUAACUAUGUGUCUCCGAAGGUCUAUUCUGAGCUCAGGAGAAUGCACACGAGUCUUUAUGAGGUGGUGGUUGACAAGAUGCAGAUUGAGGUUCUCACAUAAAGGCUGGAAAGUUUGGCAUUAGCAUCUACUAGCCUUCCUACUUUCCACAAUGACACCGAGCAUGGUUCAGAUAAGGAUCUUGACUUCUAGGGAUUUGUUUCAACAAUUCCUGUAAACACAAAUACAUGCAUAUCUUCCCC
Long non-coding RNA from Macadamia integrifolia, 444 nucleotides. RefSeq lists it as uncharacterized. Lineage: Eukaryota; Viridiplantae; Streptophyta; Magnoliopsida; Proteales; Proteaceae. The transcript has 3 exons. The record is from RefSeq and is a predicted model, not a curated record.